Molecule: ribosomal RNA, 652 nt
Filed under: uncultured Gammaproteobacteria bacterium
Lineage: Bacteria; Pseudomonadati; Pseudomonadota; Gammaproteobacteria
Description: bacterial SSU rRNA
Rfam family: Bacterial small subunit ribosomal RNA
Source: RNAcentral
GCAGUCGAGCGAGAAAGCACUUCGGUUGCGAGAUACAGCGGCGGACGGGUGAGUAACGCGUAGGAAUCUACCCGGUAGUGGGGGACAACUUGUGGAAACGCAAGCUAAUACCGCAUACGCCCUAUGGGGGAAAGCGGGGGAUCUUCGGACCUCGCGCUAUCGGAUGAGCCUGCGUAGGAUUAGCUAGUUGGUGAGGUAAAGGCUCACCAAGGCGACGAUCCUUAGCUGGUCUGAGAGGAUGAUCAGCCACACUGGAACUGAGACACGGUCCAGACUCCCACGGGAGGCAGCAGUGGGGAAUAUUGCGCAAUGGGGGAAACCCUGACGCAGCCAUGCCGCGUGUGUGAAGAAGGCCUUAGGGUUGUAAAGCACUUUCAAUUGGGAGGAAAGGUUGCACGUUAAUAGCGUGUAGCUGUGACGUUACCUUUAGAAGAAGCACCGGCUAACUCCGUGCCAGCAGCCGCGGUAAUACGGAGGGUGCGAGCGUUAAUCGGAAUUACUGGGCGUAAAGCGCGCGUAGGCGGUUCGUUAAGUCGGAUGUGAAAGCCCUGGGCUCAACCUGGGAACUGCAUUCGAUACUGACCGACUANAGUACGAGAGAGGGAGGUAGAAUUCCACGUGUAGCGGUGAAAUGCGUAGAUAUGUGGAGGAA